This is a long non-coding RNA of Prinia subflava (tawny-flanked prinia), 1372 nucleotides long. RefSeq lists it as uncharacterized. The record is from RefSeq and is a predicted model, not a curated record. The transcript has 2 exons. NCBI's taxonomy places the organism in Eukaryota, Metazoa, Chordata, Aves, Passeriformes, Cisticolidae.
ACUGGCCCAAUGCACUGCAUGGGGUCUUGCUUUCUAGGAUGUCCUCCUUCUCUAAAUUAAGAGGAAAAGGUUUGCGAGGAAAAUAGACUUCUUAUAAACCUUGAUUAGCUUCUGAGCUGCUUCAGGUCCAUUUACUUUGUUUAUGGAAAACUCACUUCAGAAUUCUAUAUUACAAGCUUAGUUUGUUUGUUUCUCAGUUUGUCACUUGACCUGAACUGCUGUUAGUCCUCCCACAUAUAUUGAUAAUGGCAGUCUCUUGUUAAAAUGAGUACUUCCUUUCUUAUUUUGUACAGAUACUUUCCCUUUUUGUAAUCAAUUUUUGUUGGCAAAGUUUUAAAUUAAAAUUUUAAUCUCUGUUACUGUCUUUGUUUUGCUAAAUCAUAUUUCAAGACAAGCCUUGUGAUCUACAAGUCCAUGGGUAUUGUCUAACAAUUGCACUGUGACGCCAUCUCCUGCUGUUGAUGAAAGUACUCAUCCUGCUGUUGAUGAAAAUGACCUGCUUUUGGAGGUAAGCUUGGAAUUCUGCAAUACCCUCUCUGUCCAGACUGAUGUGCUCUGCUGCCAGAAUUCUGUUUGAGACUCUUACCAUAACUGAUUUGGAGAUGGAGACAUUGGGCAUCCUCUGACUCCUCCAGCCCUCAGUGUUCAUCUGACUGCUCUUUCCCUGUUUGCUACCAUAGUGACAUCAAAGAAAAUCAUGGACUUGGUACAUGAGCCACUGAAUGAAUUAGUUGUGCUCCUUGUACUGAGAAGGCUGGGUCCAAACUGAAUGGAAGAGAGUGGCAAGUGUGUGCCUUUUGAUUUUACUCCAGCUGCAUAAAGAGUCAGCAGAAGAGCCAAGAAUGUGAAAUCAAAUGCUUCAUCUGUCAUUCCUGUCACUUAGUCUUGGCAACAGCUCCUCUCUCAGCACAGCCCAGUGAUGUGGUGUUCCAAUGACUUAAUAAGAAAUUAUCUGUUGUCAUCCAAUGGUUGCACUAGGAAAACUAGUCUUUCAAGUGAGUCUUUGAGAGUCUUUCCUUUUCAGGCGAGCGUAUUGUUUGCACUGCAACAUAAGAUUCUUUCUGUGUUUAUGUAUUGCUGUGUACCUUAUCAGGGAGGAAGAUUGUUUUAUCUUGGUAGUUCAGGUCUAUCUUGGAGAGAUACAUUCCAAUUUACAGUCUGAAGCUUCUGAUACAACAAGCCACUUUGUAAUGACUCUGUAAUCCUGUUCUGCCUCCAUAAAUUAGGAUGAUUCAUACUCUGCCUUGUUCUGUGCUAGACUUAGGAUGAUGGAUCCAUCUGUACUUGCCAUAGUAUGACAGAGCAGUAAUUUUGGUGAAGAUGUUCUUAGCAUUGCUAUCGCCUCCACUAGUAAAUGGAUUUUCUUGCCUAA